UACGUAGGUGGCAAGCGUUGUCCGGAUUUAUUGGGUUUAAAGGGUGCGUAGGCGGCCCUGUAAGUCAGUGCUGAAAUAUCCCAGCUUAACUGGGAGGGUGGCAUUGAUACUGCGGGGCUAGAGUACAGAUGAGGUAGGCGGAAUUGACGGUGUAGCAGUGAAAUGCGUAGAUAUCGUGAGGAACACCAGUGGCGAAGGCGACACGCUGGGCCGUACCUGACACUGAUGCGCGACAGCAUGGGGAGCAAACAGG
Molecule: ribosomal RNA, 253 nt
Filed under: uncultured bacterium
Lineage: Bacteria
Description: partial 16S ribosomal RNA
Rfam family: Bacterial small subunit ribosomal RNA
Source: RNAcentral